CCUCCUUAAACGAUAGUGUCACUAUUUCUUCAAGUGUUCACACAUCUGUCUUUGUCUUAUUCGGUUGAUGCAUAGUUAUGGGGCUAUAGCUCAGCUGGGAGAGCGCUUCCCUUGCACGGAAGAGGUCUGCGGUUCGAUCCCGCAUAGCUCCACCAGUUUCUCUUGCGAGAUAGGCCUGUAGCUCAGUUGGUUAGAGCGCACCCCUGAUAAGGGUGAGGUCGGCAGUUCAAAUCUGCCCAGGCCUACCACUUGGCAUCACUGAAGUCAGAAAGAAGAGCAUAUUGUGUUCUUCUUUCUGGUUUUAACGACCGGAAAGUUCUUUAACAAAGGUAAAUUAAGCCUGAGUCUUUGGACUGAAGGUAGCACACCCAAGGCGGUAUCGGGUGAGCGACACCAGUCCUUUAAAUUAAAAUGGUUCUGUAAUAACCGGGUUUCCAAUUUCCCCCGUUGCUUGCAAACAAGUUUGUAAAUACAACCACUUGUGGAACUUUAAGCGUUCAUCAAUCCUUUCUGGGCGGGGCGG
Molecule: transfer RNA, 523 nt
Filed under: uncultured Gammaproteobacteria bacterium
Lineage: Bacteria; Pseudomonadati; Pseudomonadota; Gammaproteobacteria
Description: partial 16S-23S ribosomal RNA intergenic spacer
Rfam family: tRNA (bases 172-245)
Source: RNAcentral